This 253-nucleotide ribosomal RNA is filed under the name uncultured bacterium. RNAcentral's name for it is "partial 16S ribosomal RNA". It matches the Rfam family "Bacterial small subunit ribosomal RNA", at positions 524 to 776 of the family's 1533-position model. The record is from RNAcentral.
UACUGAAGGUGCGAGCGUUAAUCGGAGUUACUGGGCGUAAAGGGCACGUAGGUGGUUUGAUAAGUUAGAUGUGAAAGCCCAGGGCUUAACCUUGGAACUGCAUCUGAUACUGUCCGACUAGAGUACAGAAGAGGGAGGUGGAAUUUCCUGUGUAGCGGUGAAAUGCGUAGAUAUAGGAAGGAACAUCAGUGGCGAAGGCGGCCUCCUGGACUGAUACUGACACUGAGGUGCGAAAGCGUGGGGAGCAAACAGG